RNAcentral lists this ribosomal RNA (500 nucleotides) under uncultured bacterium. RNAcentral describes it as "partial 16S ribosomal RNA". It matches the Rfam family "Bacterial small subunit ribosomal RNA", at positions 30 to 523 of the family's 1533-position model. The record is from RNAcentral.
AUUGAACGCUGGCGGCAUGCCUUACACAUGCAAGUCGAACGGCAGCACGGGAGCAAUCCUGGUGGCGAGUGGCGAACGGGUGAGUAAUAUAUCGGAACGUGCCCAGUCGUGGGGGAUAACGUAGCGAAAGCUACGCUAAUACCGCAUACGAUCUAUGGAUGAAAGCGGGGGAUCGCAAGACCUCGCGCGAUUGGAGCGGCCGAUAUCAGAUUAGGUAGUUGGUGAGGUAAAGGCUCACCGGGCCGACGAUCUGUAGCUGGUCUGAGAGGACGACCAGCCACACUGGGACUGGGACACGGCCCAGACUCCUACGGGAGGCAGCAGUGGGGAAUUUUGGACAACGGGCGCAAGCCUGAUCCAGCAAUGCCGCGUGCAGGAUGAAGGCCUUCGGGUUGUAAACUGCUUUUGUACGGAACGAAACGGCGAGCUCUAAUACGGUUUGCUAAUGACGGUACCGUAAGAAUAAGCACCGGCUAACUACGUGCCAGCCGCCGCCGUAA